UCGUUAACGAACGAGACCUUAACCUGCUAAAUAGUUAGGCCAACGUUUGUUGGUCGUCAACUUCUUAGAGGGACUAUUGACUAUUAGUCAAUGGAAGUUUGAGGCAAUAACAGGUCUGUGAUGCCCUUCGAUGUUCUGGGCCGCACGCGCGCUACACUGAUGCAUUCAUCGAGCUUACAACCUUGACCGAUAGGUCUGGGUAAUCUUUGCAACAUGCAUCGUGCUGGGGAUAGAUCAUUGUAAUUAUUGAUCUUCAACGAGGAAUUCCUAGUAAACGCAGGUCAUCAACUUGCAUUGAUUACGUCCCUGCCCUUUGUACACACCGCCCGUCGCUAAUACCGAUUGAAUGGCUC
Molecule: ribosomal RNA, 353 nt
Filed under: Eukaryota sp.
Lineage: Eukaryota
Description: SSU rRNA
Rfam family: Eukaryotic small subunit ribosomal RNA
Source: RNAcentral